RNAcentral lists this long non-coding RNA (5019 nucleotides) under Nothobranchius furzeri (turquoise killifish). Its description in RNAcentral is "lncRNA (ENSNFUG00015019218.1)". The record is from RNAcentral. Lineage: Eukaryota; Metazoa; Chordata; Actinopteri; Cyprinodontiformes; Nothobranchiidae.
AUGAAAAAGGGAGGAGGGCUUUAUCUCAAGGAGGCCAGCGGCUCCAAGUGCCAACAUGUCAUAUCUGCAGGUGUUGUUAACAACAACAGCGCCGCCCAGAUGAGCAGUCGGUCUAAUGUUUCUCUGGUCAGUGACCACCAUAGUGUCUGCGUCGUCUCUGCACCUGAAGACCUUCACUCUGCAGUGGGAACACCACCAACCAAAGGGGAGGUUGAUGGCAUCACUGAUUCUACACCACCACAGUCGGCAUCAGAGACCUUGCGCCCUGCAGUAGGUGCUUCACCUAUCAAAGGGGGGGUUGAAGGUCGCCCUGUACCAUUACAGGCUGACUCUGAUCUUUCCGGCUGCACCUACAUGCCGACCGAGGGUCCUCCAGAGUGCACCCCAGCGCAGAGCCCUCAAAAGGCUGCUCCUGCACCAGUCUACAAUCUGAACAACACCGGAUCAGUAUGUGUUGAUUUAACAAGUUAAUCUCUCAGUACUCAUACACGUUAUAAGAUUAUUGUUAAUGUUUAACAUUCACUUGACAUAAGUGUUUAAAACAUUCUCAUUCACACAAAGAGUUAGCCAUCUCUGUAUCUGAAGGAAGAAGUGACUUCUGAGGUAUGUGGUAAUGCCCUCAAAUGAGUCAAAUUCUGAUUUGACUCAUUUAUCAACAAUGUGAUAAAACAGAAUUGUUUCCGGAAUUAUUUCAGUUUCCAGCUGAUUUCUGAUUCGGCCAAAUCUGUGGAAAAAGCAUUUUGAAACCAUCCUAUCUUUUGACCUCAGGUCAACACGGCUCUUUGAAGAGCCAACAAACAGCCUUAGAUGCAAACAAGCAUUCCAGCUUCCUGUCAUGACCUGGAGAUCUCUCAAGACUAGACGGGUCCUAUCGGAGCUGAUCUGUGAGUUCCUGGAACCUAGAGGUCCAUGCCAUCGGCAGUGUCCAUCCAGACCUAGGUACCCCUGGAUCUGAAUGGAGAUCUCCACAAAAGGAGACUCAACAGAUUGUGUCGGAUGGUUUUAUAAACAAAUCUCUAGUUUACCAAACAUACCGCCAAAUUUCUUUUACGACCCGGACUCUACAAACUCUCUCUGAUGCUUUAGAAAGGUUCUGCUAAAACAUCUAGCUUCCGUUCCAAAUCACUUACAUUACAUCACCAUUCAUAUCUUGUCAUGUAUAAUUAUUAGUUUAGGGAUAUAGAAAUAAAUAAUUUUUUAUAAACUACACUUGACUCUGUCUGAAUUAAUAUGGUGUGUUUAUGGUCCCUGAGUAAGUAAAGUACGUAUAAUCUUCUGAUUAAACAUUCAAAGAUUUAAAGGUGGGUCCAUUUGAGAAUAUCGCAACAAUUAUUUCUUAUUUAUCCUUUGUGUUAAUGUUUACAUUUGUUUGAUCAGAAAGAACACUUAAUGUGGUCUGAUAUGUUCUGAACUCUCCACAGAAGAAUAACAGGGAAUUUAGGAGGAAAUUACAGGGUAGGAACUUUUCUUUCCAACCGAGUUUUACGUGGGACUCUAAAAGUGACGGACCCCCCUUCGCGCUCAGCUGUAUUCUGGAAAAGAAAGCUACAAGCCCUGUUUCCUCAUUGCUCCGUUUCUCCUGUUUAUUCAGGUUGGUAAAAGUAUUUAAAAGUGUCAUUUGUCAGGGGGUGUUUCUUCUCAGUGUCAAAGCGCCUGGCCUCGCUCAUCGCCUCGCGAGGCCAGGCGCUUUGCUUACGAGGACACGGUCCUUUCUUGGUAAAAAAAAUGGUUACAUGGAACAGACUUGCCUCACGUGACCGCGGCUUCCACGGCGGUCACGUAACAUCAUGUGACACGGGAGAUAACGUUAUAUUUUAUACGUAUUAGUUUCAAUAUAAAUAUAUAGCGAGCCUUUUACUUUAGAAAUUGUGUUUGUUUAUUAAAUUAAAUAUAUAAGCGAGUUACUAAUUACUUAAAUUAGUUGACUUACUUUUAAAUUUGAAAAUUUCCCCCUGAAGAAGCUGCCGGCUCCUGAUCAGCCGUCCUUUUGAAAAUGCCGCGGUGUAUUGUGGGUAAUUUUUGACCAAGGCUAGGCUACAAGACACCUCCUGUGUGUCCUUGCUAAGCUAGCUAAACGGCUAACAAACGGAGAACACACGCCUCGGUAGAACAUGAACAUUGGAACACGUCUUGGCGGCUCCCGAUGACGUAUCACCUAGGCAACCGGGGCGGGGCCAAGACAUCAAGGCAAGGUUCCUUGGCAUUGAGAAACACCCAGGUAGUUCGAGCAAGCUAAAACAGUGUGGUGCUCAAUUUUAGCUUUGAGAUUGUUCUGGUUUGUAUUUUGACUAGUUUGUCUAUGAAGUGAAUGUGCAGUUUAGCCAAAUAUGAGAAAACGAGAAAGGAAAGUGUAUUUGAUAAGAAACUGAACCUGUGAAAAGGGAACGUUGCCCUGAGGAUAUGGAAACGAAACGAUGAAGCUAAGAAGGAAGCUGAGAUCAAAUGAGAUGUCUUGCUGCUGUUUGUAAAUAAUUUUGGUGGUAAAUAAAUCCACAGAUGCAGUGGUUUUCUGAAAAGGAAAUCUACGAGUCCUGUUUCCUCAUUGCUCCUUUUCUUCUGUUUAUUCGGGUCUGGUCCACAUCUGGAACAACAUCUGGACCAACAGUAAUUGUGAUUGUGGCUCUGAGCUCUCUGGGGCCUGUAACACCAGCAUUUGGAGCCAUCCUCUUUUGACCAAGCAACACUUGCUAGUGAUAUCAGACACUGCAACACCUCAGACGUGGAAAUGUACAACCAUCAUCUCAUUCAUACUUUGUCAUGUAUAAUCACUAGUCUAGGAGAAUAGAAUUAAAUUCAUUUGUAAUGAAUCAAAAGGGCCAAUUUUCACCAUGGAAUUGACACGGUAAGCUUUCAUACACGCCAGAGCUGCCAAGUCAAGGUUACGCCAGCUGGAAGAUCCAGAUGCACAAACCAGCCUUUUGCUCACUUACUGUUCCUCAACACAGACAUAAAUAAACUGCCAAGGUCUCCCACAAAAGCCCUUUCCUCCCUGGAUUCCUCACUCUGAAUAAAAAGUGAACUUUUACAACUCAUAAGUUAGAUAAUCAGAUGUGAUGAAUGAACAAGACGUCUAAAUCAAAUGUUUGAAUAAUCUGUGCUUAAAUUCAUGAAGUUUAAAUGAAUGUUGCUCUUACAGUGAUCCAUUUAUAUCACAAAUCAGUAUGUGUUUGAUUUAACACGCUCAUUAUUAGCUACACUCACACACGUCGUCAUAAGUUACAAGUUAAGGUUAAGGUUCACCUCACAUAACGUUUAAAGAUUCUUUAUUCACAGAAUUAAGAGUCCUGUCUCUGAGGAGGGCGUGGCUUUCUGAGGGAUGUUGGUAAAUACUCAGAAACGUGUCAAAUGCUGAUUGGCCAAACUCGACCAGAAACCAUAACAAAGUAGUUUAAUAAAACAGGAAUCACUUCCCGACUAAUUCAGUUUCUAGCUGAAAUCCGAACCGGCUAACUCGCAACAAGCAUCCUUGAGACAUCUCUUUUACAGUCAAACCCUGUCUGCACGCUGCUAGCUGACACAGCCAGACCGCUCCCUAAGAGCCACACCCACUUUGGACGCAGACAAGCGUUCCAGCUACCGUUGUGACCUGGAGACAUCUCAAGACCGGACGGGUCGUAUCGGAGUUAAUCUACGAAAUCCCGGUGCCGUGAGGUCCACCCGACUUCUGACAGUCUGGAUCUGCUGGAGGUCUCCGCCAGGGUUUGUAGACACAGCAGAUCGCGUCUGAUGCUGUUUUAUUAAUAAUCAACUCUAUUCUUUUACACCCAGAUUUCACUAUUUGUUUCAGAUAGAAAGGUUCUGAUAAACAUCUUGCUUACAUCACACCACCUACACAUCACACUCCAUCACCGCAUAUCCGCUCCAUCACAUCUCAUUACUCAGAUCUAGUCAUGUAUAAUCAUUAGUUUAGAAAAGAAUAAAAGUCCUUUUUAACUAAAUACUGACUCUGUCUGAAUCAAUACGAAGUGUGUUUAUGGUCCCUGAACAAGUAAAAGUAACUAGAAUACUCUGAUUAAAUGUUCAAAGAUCAAUCAGGUUGAGGUUUCAUAUAAAUAUGGAAUCAUCACAUCUUAUUGGUCAUAAUUCAUUUGCAGUCGUCGCGUUAUAAAGUGUGACCGCUACACAUUUUUAUAACUAUAUCCUGACUCUGUCUGAAUUAAUAUGAAGUGUGUGUUCCCUGAAGAGUCAAAGAACCUAAAGGUAAUAAGUCGAAUCUUCACCGACCAAUCAGGUUAAUGAUUCAUAUUUAUAUGGAAUAUCACAUCUUAUUGAUCGUUUCACUUAACAAAUAUGUAGCCACUGGUUAGGGUUACUCUGCUGUCAGCGGGCUGCAGAGUAGCAGCGACAGACAGAUCAGGUGUUUCACUGAGAUCGGCCACAGAUUCCUCUGCUGGUCAACAACCUGGGAAUUCAAAUAAAAGACUCAACAAUCCUGCAAAAAUACGACCGUUAGUCCCGGUUUCAUCUGAUGCUGAUGCCCGACCCUAGUGUGUGUGUGUGUGUGUGUGUGUGUGUGUGUGUGUGUGUGUGUGUGUGUGUGUGUUUGCAUGGGAUGGGAGGUGUUGUUCUGUGGGGGAGGGGUGGUAAAUGUUGUACCAAUCAGCACUUUUCAUAAAUAAAUGAGAUUUUAUUUGAUUUACAGUCAGGUGAGAACCAUCUGGAGUCAACAACAGGGAUUGUGUUUGUGGGGUCAGGAAAAGGUGCCGUUGUUUACACGGAGGGGGAGGAGCUUAAACCCUGAAACAGAAGCAGCCACUAGCGGGCGCUCACUUUAGUUCUGAUCUCCAGCUUGUGUCCUUGUAUCAGCUCUGAACCCAGGAACCAGUCAGCAUCCGGUCCUGGUUCUGCCUCUGGUCUUUCAGACAGAACCCAACAGAACCAUCACCAGGUCUUGGACCCCAACUUGGUCCCAUCUUUGGUUUCAGCUGCUCUGAUUCUGAUUUCAGGCCGCAACGGAAGCUGCAGCUGAUGCUGUGUGUGUGUGUGUGUGUGUGUGUGUGUGUGUGUGUGUGUGUGUGG